CGCCAAGANGGCCGCCACCACCCCAGGGAC
Molecule: transfer RNA, 30 nt
Filed under: Ara macao cyanopterus
Lineage: Eukaryota; Metazoa; Chordata; Aves; Psittaciformes; Psittacidae
Description: partial tRNA-Phe
Source: RNAcentral